AGUCCCUCUACCAGGUGAAUGUGGCUGUCAUCUGGCCGCCCCCCAGUCCCUCUACCAGGUGAAUGUGGCUGUCAUCUGGCCGCCCCCCAGUCCCUCUACCAGGUGAAUGUGGCUGUCAUCUGGCCGCCCCCCAGUCCCUCUACCAGGUGAAUGUGGCUGUCAUCUGGCCCCCCCCAGUCCCUCUACCAGGUGAAUGUGGCUGUCAUCUGGCCGCCCCCCAGUCCCUCUACCAGGUGAAUGUGGCUGACUCGCACAGUGUGCUCCCCUUCCCUCCCAACAGUAACCUGUGGUGGGAUGGGUAUAGCCUCUAGUGAUGUGUUGCUGUUCCCUUACGAGAACCCACUUACUCUGGUGUGUUUAUCCCAUUGAGUGACGAGCAUAGUCCCUCAUAGCAAAAUAGAAUGAAGGAUAGUCACAUAUCUUAUUUCACCUUUUUAUAUAACUAGUUGAGAACGAGUUCUCCUUUACAACUGCGACCUGGCCAAGAUAAAGCAAAGCAGUGCGACACAAACAACAACAGAGUUCCACAUGGACUAAACGACACGUACAGUCAAUAACACAGUAGAAAAGUCUCUGCACAGUGUGCUCCCCUUCCCUCCCAACAGUAACCUGUAAGUAGCCUCUAGUGAUGUGUUGCUGUCUCUGCACAGUGUGUCUUAUUCAUUAAUACUUACUUUCCCACCAUCAUUUGCAAAUAAAUUCAUUAAAAAUCCUA
This is a long non-coding RNA of Oncorhynchus keta (chum salmon), 715 nucleotides long. RefSeq lists it as uncharacterized. NCBI's taxonomy places the organism in Eukaryota, Metazoa, Chordata, Actinopteri, Salmoniformes, Salmonidae. The record is from RefSeq and is a predicted model, not a curated record. The transcript has 2 exons.